Molecule: long non-coding RNA, 1456 nt
Organism: Paramisgurnus dabryanus
Lineage: Eukaryota; Metazoa; Chordata; Actinopteri; Cypriniformes; Cobitidae
Source: RefSeq, a predicted model, not a curated record
ACUGGACACAGCGACCCCAUUGGAUUCAACAGAGAAAAGUGAAGUCAAUUAGAAGUGAAGUCACUUCCUGGGGGUCGAGCGUACUGCGCAGACUCAAACUGAGCUCAAUGAUGUAGAUGUCACGUGAGCAACCUGUCUGACAAUUGUAAGUCUUCUAAUAGCCGUGCCACGAGAAAUCUGAAUCACCACCGAACCUUGCAGAGACGGCGAGCGUGAACAGGAGUACAUUUUGCGGGACGACCGAUUCCACAUCGCCCAGCACUGAACUGUCACCCACCUCGCUGCUCUCGCCCGUGUUUACAUCAUUAAGGUUCUGAUGAAGUGUGAAGUUAAAGACGAUUUUAUAAAGACAUACAGAGAGACUACAUGAAAUAUAUCACAUUGCAAGAUGAAUUUAAAUGAGCCGCUGAUUAAAAACUAGAUUGCCCAAAUAUCUGGAUUAGUCUUUUAGGAAUAUUUAGGCGUGGACUUCACGGCCCUCUGAUGAAAGACCUGUUGCAGCUGAUCAGUCCAGGGAAUGCUCGGAGUCUCCUCAUCACUGCAGAAGAGAGAGGGAUAAAGAGAGAGAGAGAGAGCGUGCGAGCCCUGCGUUCAGCCAGCAGGACCUCCAAACACUCGGCUUCACUGAUCCUGAAAUAAAGAGGUUGAUGGAGGGAGGACGAAUGAGAAGCAGUAAUGCGCAGACACGCUGGAUUGAGACUGAGGAGACGAUCUGACAGUGCUGCUGUUGGGUGUCGCCUGUCUGCGCUUCCUGAACAUUCAGCUGUUCUAUAGCACCCCUCUCUCUCUCUCUCUCUCUCUCUCUCUCUCUCUCUCUCUCUCUCUCACUGUCUGACUCUGUUAUUCUUUCUGAAAUCUUUCCAUGUGUUGUGACUGAUCUGAUGUCAGUGAUAUUUCUCUUUGAUAAGCUCCAGUAGUUCAGCGUGUGCUUAAAUCAUCAUUACAUGUGUUCAAAACUUCAGCUACAAAAUCACUAAGUCAUCAUCAUACAGUGGUGGUAAUUUAAGUGAUGCUUAUCUGAAGAAAUCUGUCCAGCAUCAUACUACAGUACAGCAACAAGCUGGCAUCACUGUUACAGUGUAAUUAUACAUUUAAGUACUAAGUAAUAAUCAUUAACAACAUGUACUUACUAUAGGGUUGGGGUUAGGAUUAGGGUUUGGUUUAGGGUAAGUUGCAUGUAACUAUGCAUUAUUAACUGUUAUUACUAUAAUAAUUACAUGUACAAUAUGUAACAAAGACACAGUAAAAUAAAGUGUUACCCAAAUUACUUAUCAGUGAACAAUAUUGCGAUUAAUAAUAAAUAAUGUGACUUCAUAAUCUUUAAUCAAAAAUGCAAAUCUCCUACCAUCUUGGAAACAAUCUCUCUUUACUUCUGAUCAUAUGGUACACGAUUUGCUAAUAGCAACAUGACCCAACUUCAAACGAUCAACUCAGAUCUCAAUGGACAAAUCCAGCC